GCUGCCCGGUGGUGCGGGUGCUGCGCUCCGGUGCGGCGCCGGACGACCCGGUGUCGGGGCUGGCGGUCCGGGCGCCGACCGGGCAGUG
Molecule: transfer RNA, 88 nt
Filed under: Couchioplanes azureus
Lineage: Bacteria; Bacillati; Actinomycetota; Actinomycetes; Micromonosporales; Micromonosporaceae
Description: Couchioplanes caeruleus subsp. azureus tRNA-Pro
Source: RNAcentral